GGUCCGUGCCGCGGAGGCGCCCAGGGUCGAGAGGGGGAGGAGAAGAAAGUCGGUGGCCCGCAGGGUGAGUAGCCGUCGGGCCGCCAUUGAAGAGUCCCACGGUUCUGAAGAAGAGCCGGGGAGAAUCCCUUCAAUGACAGGGACUUGAUAAAGCAGUUGAUUGACGGUUGCAUCCUGCCCGAGGUCGUCCAGAGGAUUGAUCGCGCUGAUCUCGAACAGUGGGUUUGGGACUCCCUAGGGUCCUUUCUCGAGGUAAACAGAUUCACCUUCCCCCUUCUCCUCACUCCUUCGUUUAAUUAGCUUCUCAACCUUUGUUCUGACCUCCUAGCCACCCUUGC
This 338-nucleotide long non-coding RNA is filed under the name Elaeis guineensis (African oil palm). Its description in RNAcentral is "long non-coding RNA (EGUI_LNC053842)". Lineage: Eukaryota; Viridiplantae; Streptophyta; Magnoliopsida; Arecales; Arecaceae. The record is from RNAcentral.